CUAAAGCCGACGCAGAGCCAAACACCACAAACCAUCUUCAUCUUCGGUUUCUCUUGUUCGAUCAGGAUUGUGUUAGUGCGAUCAAGGAAACGCAUGUACGUGUCAAAGUGUCCAAAGUUGAUGUUCCAAGAUUCCAUAGGAGAAAAGAUUUCCCCACACAAAAUGUUUUGGUGGUUUGUAUAUUCGACUUGGCUUUUACAUACGACUUUUUUAGGUGGGAGGGGACCGCAUCAGAUUUAAGAGUAAUGAAACAUGCAUUAACGAGAGCUGAUGAUCUUCUCAUUAUUCCAAAGGUGAUUAAAAAGUUCAAAUUUCAAAAUGUAAAUUUUUUUUAUAACUUUACGUAAUGUUUUUAAGUUCUACCAAAAA
Molecule: non-coding RNA, 369 nt
Organism: Carica papaya (papaya)
Lineage: Eukaryota; Viridiplantae; Streptophyta; Magnoliopsida; Brassicales; Caricaceae
Source: RefSeq, a predicted model, not a curated record